UUAUCUCUUUCCUAUUCCGUAUGUUCUUGCUCCUUGUGUUUGCAUCUCUCUCGAUGAAUUCGUUCACGUCCGGCGGAGGAACUCUCUCCCGUGGAAGCCCUCUGACCCUGCAUGGCCCCGCAAAGGAGUACAGGCCUAGCAGAGGAGCUCAAGCCCAACCAUCCCUGCGGCUCGGGACAGCGGAAGGCGGCAGAUCUAGGUAGUGUCGGCCUCGUGUGGGCUUCAAGCGGCGUCGAUUAUCGAAAUUGAUGCUUGAGCGAUGUCAAAUGGAGCUCGAGCUCUUCGACCUCGGCAGCCACCGUGCGAGUCCCAGCACCCUCUGCAUGCUCCUUGCUCCUCAAUUCGAUUUGCGUCGGAACCGGAUUUGCCGCUCGAUUUGUCAGCAACAAAUCGAGCUCGAGCUCAAGUUGCCGUUUCCUAGCAUGGUACGGCGGGCGGUGCUGCUGCGUGUGUAGGAGUUGUGGCGG
This 467-nucleotide long non-coding RNA is filed under the name Setaria viridis. RNAcentral's name for it is "long non-coding RNA (SVIR_LNC000954)". The record is from RNAcentral. Lineage: Eukaryota; Viridiplantae; Streptophyta; Magnoliopsida; Poales; Poaceae.